CAGUUCGGUCCCUAUCCGUCGCAGGCGUAGGAAAUUUGAGAAGACCUGUCCUUAGUACGAGAGGACCGGGAUGGACGUACCGCUGGUGUACCAGUUGUUCUGCCAAGGGCAUGGCUGGGUAGCUAUGUACGGAAUGGAUAAGCGCUGAAAGCAUCUAAGCGCGAAGCCAACUUCAAGAUAAGAUUUCCCACCGCAAGGGUAAGACCCCAGAAAGACUAUCUGGUUGAUAGGUCGAAGGUGUAAGUGCAGCAAUGUAUUUAGCUUAUCGAUACUAAUAGGUCGAGGACUUGACCAAAUU
This 298-nucleotide ribosomal RNA is filed under the name Clostridioides difficile. Its description in RNAcentral is "partial 23S ribosomal RNA". It matches the Rfam family "Bacterial large subunit ribosomal RNA", at positions 2627 to 2925 of the family's 2925-position model. The record is from RNAcentral. Lineage: Bacteria; Bacillati; Bacillota; Clostridia; Peptostreptococcales; Peptostreptococcaceae.